GCUACUAUGCCAGCUGGUGGAUAGCUCGGCUCAGGUGCCGACGAAGGACGUGCCAAGCUGCGAUAAGCUUCAGGGACCCGCACGGAGGGGAAGAACUGAAGAUUUCCGAAUAGGAAUCCUCACUGCAAUUGCUUCGCGCAAUGGGGAACGCCGGGAAUUGAAACAUCUCAGUACCGGCA
This 179-nucleotide ribosomal RNA is filed under the name Halorientalis pallida. Its description in RNAcentral is "Halorientalis sp. F13-25 partial 23S ribosomal RNA". It matches the Rfam family "Archaeal large subunit ribosomal RNA", at positions 9 to 195 of the family's 2987-position model. The record is from RNAcentral. Lineage: Archaea; Methanobacteriati; Methanobacteriota; Halobacteria; Halobacteriales; Haloarculaceae.